UACGAAGGGGGCUAGCGUUGCUCGGAAUUACUGGGCGUAAAGCGCACGUAGGCGGCUUUCUAAGUCGGGGGUGAAAUCCUGGAGCUCAACUCCAGAACUGCCUUCGAUACUGGAGAGCUCGAGUCCGGGAGAGGUGAGUGGAACUGCGAGUGUAGAGGUGAAAUUCGUAGAGAUUGGGAAGAACACCAGUGGCGAAGGCGGCUAUCUGGACGGUUUCUGACGCUAAGACGCGAAAGCGUGGGGAGCAAACAGG
Molecule: ribosomal RNA, 253 nt
Filed under: uncultured bacterium
Lineage: Bacteria
Description: partial 16S ribosomal RNA
Rfam family: Bacterial small subunit ribosomal RNA
Source: RNAcentral